RNAcentral lists this ribosomal RNA (253 nucleotides) under uncultured bacterium. RNAcentral's name for it is "partial 16S ribosomal RNA". It matches the Rfam family "Bacterial small subunit ribosomal RNA", at positions 524 to 776 of the family's 1533-position model. The record is from RNAcentral.
UACGUAGGCAGCGAGCGUUGUUCGGAAUUACUGGGCGUAAAGGGCGCGUAGGCGGCCUGCUAAGUCGAACGUGAAAUCCCUGGGCUCAACCCAGGAACUGCGUCCGAUACUGGUUGGCUUGAAUCCGGGAGAGGGAUGUGGAAUUCCAGGUGUAGCGGUGAAAUGCGUAGAUAUCUGGAGGAACACCGGUGGCGAAGGCGGGUCUCUGGGCCGAUACUGACGCUGAGGAGCGAAAGCGUGGGGAGCGAACAGG